RNAcentral lists this long non-coding RNA (1259 nucleotides) under Papio anubis (olive baboon). RNAcentral describes it as "lncRNA (ENSPANG00000040682.1)". The record is from RNAcentral. Lineage: Eukaryota; Metazoa; Chordata; Mammalia; Primates; Cercopithecidae.
UGAUCCAUUGCCUUGUACACGCCAGGUUCCCUGAGUUCUUAUCCCACAUGCCCAGAAAAAAAUGAAAGAUGUGCUACAACCAAUCAAGAGUGAGCAAGGCAGGGAGUUUUAUUGAGUGAUGAAACAGCUUUCAGCAGAGAGGGAAGCAGGGGUGGUCCCCCUACCUGAAGGCAGGAAAGUCCCCUCCAUGAGGCUGAGUCCUGGGGCUUUUUAUGGGCUCAGAAUAGGAGAGGGGCAGGCAAACAGGAACAGAAAUUCUUACUCUGCAUCAUGGAUUUCAUCCAGGACCAGCAGUCUGGUCUUUCAGCCUUCAGGCUGUUUUUGGCUUGAAGGUACGAUUUCACCUCUGCCUCCAUCCCUGUCACUGUCACCCCUAUAUAAGGAUUCUUUUGAUGUUAGCAACAAAGGAAGGGAGAAGGUAGUAUAUAAAAGAAAGAGAGAGAAAGAGAGAGAGAUUUGUGCUUUUAGCUCAAGACAUUUGAUAUUUUACUUGCUGCAAAAACUUGAAUAACUUAAUUUUGGCUGACAUUCAUUCAGCACUACCUCCAUGGCAGGUACCAUUUUAAGCACUUUAUGUUUUAAGCUAUGAAAUGUUUACAGAACAUCUUAAUAUUGGUAGCAUUAUUGUUGUUUUACUGAUGAUUAAGCUGAAGCACAGAAAGGUUAAGUAACUUGCCCAGAAUCACACAGCCAGAAAGUAUUAAUAGCAUAACUGAGAUCUGAAACCAGGCAUUGCAAGUCAGGACUUUUGCCACCGUGCUCUGCCAUCAUGGAAGGAAGGAAGUUGCAGGAAGAAGUGGAAUCAGGGAGCUCCAUGUGAAAGAACAGGUCUUUGUGUUUAGUUUUGUUUUGUUGUUUGAGCCAGGGUCUCGCUCUGUUGCCCAGGCUAGAGUGCGUUAAAACAAUUACAGCUCACUGCAGUCUCAACCUCCUGGGCUCAAGCGAUCCUCCCACCUCAGCCUCCCAUGUAGCCACCAUCCCUGGCUAAUUUUUAAAUUUUUUGUAGAGACACGGUUUCACUUUGUUAUCCAAGAUGGUCUCAAACUCCUGGGCUCAAGCAAUCCUCCUACCGUGGCCUCCCAAAGUGCUGGUAUUACAGGCAUGAGCCACGAAGCCUGGCCAAGAACUGGUCUUUAAACAGAGUCUCCCUAUAAAAGCAGAAUCCUAUGUUAAAAGAGUAAUUCCUUUUAUGCAAAACGGCAGGAAAACGUCUGCAUCUACAGAAGUCCUACAUCAUUAUUAUUUUUCACUCAUGUCAU